GUGCUCACCUCAGCAGCGUAUGUACAAAACCCGGAACAAUACAGAGAAAAUUAGCCUGGCACCUGCGCAAGGAUGACUUGCAAAUUUGUGAACCGUUCCAUAUAUUU
Molecule: small nuclear RNA, 107 nt
Organism: Microtus ochrogaster (prairie vole)
Lineage: Eukaryota; Metazoa; Chordata; Mammalia; Rodentia; Cricetidae
Source: Ensembl